AUGAUCUUUGUGAGUUUGACCCUGCUGGGCUCCUCCAAAAUGAGGUUCCUGUUUCCUGUGGUGCAUUAAAGCUGAGGUCUGCCUUUCGUCUGGUAGUGAGAAACUGCUUAUAGAGGGCAGCAAAGCAGACUUUGUUCUGCUCCUUGUCAGACACAAUCGAUGUCUGGAAAAGUCUUACUUCUAUGCACUACAGAGCCUGAGGUUCCACAAGAGAUGGGAAGUCCUGCCACUCCUUCCAAGUCCAGAACUGAGGUGCAGCCCACCGUGAAUCCAGUGGUAAUUUGUGAGAUUUCUAUUGCCUGGUGGCAGAGAGCAGCAGCCCCUGGAACCAAGGUGCAGCAGAGGAAUUUAAACUUGAGCAUUCUCCUCCUGUCCUGAGAAGCUGAAGCCAGCUGAGCUUUGAAGGUUUCAGAAUUUCCCAGUGUUUUCUGUUCUGACUUCACCUCCACAAGGAUACAGGGAGGCUUCACAGAUGGAAUUUGGCCUUGCACUGAUUAAAUAACCAUUUGUCUUCUUCGACAGUAGAAGAUGGGAAUGCCCUGUCUGAACAACGGUGCUUCCUCUCAUUCCCAGCUUCUCCUGGUGUCUGGUGCUGCAAGAAGGCUGAAAUCCUCCUGACUUCCUUCUGAACAUCAUUAGUAAAAGGGAGCUUUAGAGACUGGGUAUUGCCUGUGACUGACCCUCUAGAAGAGCAUAUUUAACAAAGAUUUGUUUGAGCUCUCUGUUGGAGAUUGGUUGUUUGUCAAGUCCUUUCUGUGUCCUCCUAAGCCCCUGGAAGAUGCAGCUGCCACUAAUAGAGACAUGCAGAGUCUAUCUCAUGGCAAAAUUCAGGCAUUCAUGAGAUCAAAGGGUCACCAGGAUUAAAGGCUGCCAUAUCUAACACUGCACAUGCUGCUUUCUCCAUCUCUGUGCACUUAUCAGCUGUGGCUUUCAUACACACAAAGCCAUGUGGCUGAAGUGCAGAUAACUCAUCUUGUCUGGAGAGUUCAAGAUGUCCCACAGCCCGUCUUGGUGUCACAGCUCUGCUCUGGUGCUCCUGCCCUUGCCCCAGGAGCUCACAGCACAUGCUGCUGCCUUUGAGCCAGAAAAGAAGAUAGAGAGGUGAAAACACACCCUUUUUUGGGCUAUUUUUCAUGUUAUGCUACAAAACUCUCCAAGCUACACAGGAUGAACGAGACAAGAUUCAUGUUUUCCCAGAUUUAUAUAUGCCAAACCGUGUUCCAUGUGACUGACAUUCAUUCAUGUGCCAUGAGCUUGUCUUUUAUGGAAACAAGUUUCAUCUUUCCCUUGGUCCUGCAGCCUGAUUCUGUGCUUUGCUCUUGGAGGAGCACCCAAUGUUUUCUGACACUGAGUCCCACCUGCCUUCUGUUUUCCCAGUCCCACCCCUUAUUAUGCAGAUAUUCAGCACCACUUCUGGUUGAGACCAUUGUCAGUCCUCUCUGCAGCAGCCUGGAGAGGUGGGAUUUCCAUGGCUGUGUAAAAAAUCCCAGAGGUUAAUGACAGCCUAGUGAGAGCACAGCCCUUUCCUUAGAGCACUCCAUUUCCUUCACUUCUUCUCCAACCUAGCUGCUGUAUGCAGUAAAUUUGCACAGGUAAAACAAAGUUGUCUUCUUCUGGGCUGCUUGUCUCUAUCAGUUUCCUCUGAGGUAAUAAACAAUUUUGAUUUCAGGUGUUUCAGCUACACCUCAUUCUCCAUGUGACCCCUGAAAUUCACAUUAUGCCCUCAGCCUUUCUUUAGAAGAGCUGAAUAAACACAGAGGAGUUCUUGAGUGUGUGCUUUGUAUGGAGCUGAGAUCGAAAAUUCCUUGUGGGUUUGUAUUUUUGCUAAAGACUCUUUUUUU
Passer domesticus (house sparrow) is the source of this 1841-nucleotide long non-coding RNA. RefSeq lists it as uncharacterized. The record is from RefSeq and is a predicted model, not a curated record. The transcript is spliced from 7 exons. Lineage: Eukaryota; Metazoa; Chordata; Aves; Passeriformes; Passeridae.